Molecule: long non-coding RNA, 908 nt
Filed under: Homo sapiens (human)
Lineage: Eukaryota; Metazoa; Chordata; Mammalia; Primates; Hominidae
Description: non-protein coding lnc-SNPH-7:1
Source: RNAcentral
GUGCUUUCCUGAAGACCAGAUGUGUGAGUGGCACCCUUCUGCAGAAGUAAAUUGGCUUUGCUGAAAAAUCUUUUAUUUCAGUGCUGGUUUUCCUUGAGACUUCGAGCUUUAAUUUCCAACACCACCGUGGGACACUCUUCCCUUCCUCUUCCUCUGUCGGCCCCUGCUCAUUCUUCAGCUCUCAGUUCAGGUGUCCCUUUCUCAAGGAGACCUUGAGAAGGUGCCCAGGCUUAGUCAAAACCCCUCUUAAUCAGGUUAUGAACAGCACAAAGUCCAGUCUUCCCUCAAUUGACACAAUAGUUGCUUUCCUGGAAAAUUCGGUGUCUUAUUAACACUGUGCAAGAAAUCCUUUAAGUUUAUAUGACAAACGAGUUAGGGCUUGGGUUAGGUUAUUAGGAGCAUGGUUGCAGCCACAAUAGGCCCUGGCAGGAGGCAUGGGAGGAGGGUCCUUUCUUUGUGGUGUGAGACUCUCCUUUCUAUUGCAAGGCCACCCAGGACCAGCCCCGGUCCCUAGGACUUACCCCUUUCAUCAUUGUGUCAACUCGAAAUGCACCCCAACUUUCCAGGAAGUCCAAGAAGCUAGAGGCUCACUCUGGACCUCACGAUUGGCAACCAGUAAGGUCUUUCUACCCUGGAAACUGACAACGACUAACCCCAGCUUAAAGAUCUGCAGGCGAUCAGCUCCUCAAGGUCCAGUUCCCUGGCUGGUAUUGGAGUCAUUGAAACUCAUUGUCACCCCCCCUCUUCAUUUUUGUGCCAUCAGGGAAAGCUCUUUGUUCGGCCAGAGGGUCCCUGAUCCCUCUUCUAGAGGACUUGAGGGCAUCCUUUCCCAUAACACUACCUGGCAGCUAGUGUUUACUGAGCACUUACUAUGCCCCUAGACACUCUGCAAAGAGCCUUAGAUACAC